Rattus norvegicus (Norway rat) is the source of this 776-nucleotide non-coding RNA. The record is from RefSeq and is a predicted model, not a curated record. Lineage: Eukaryota; Metazoa; Chordata; Mammalia; Rodentia; Muridae.
CUUCCGGUAGUGCUGAAGCCAGGCUGGCCUCGGCCAUUCUGGGACACGUUCACGGCUUGGCUUCUGCAGAUUCCAUUCCUUCCUCUGAGGUUACUCUUCAAACAGAUGCCCGCUUGGCAUGUCCUUUACUUAUCUCGGGCCCUUCCUUGUCAAUGGGCUCCUUCUUGGGACUCCUCAUGUAACCCAGGAUGGCCUCAAACCCAAUAUGGCUUACACAGUGACCUUGGACUUCUGAUCCUCCUGCCUCCAACUCCUGGGUGCUAAGACUACAGGCAUGCACACCUUGUAUGCUUCUCCUUGUAUGCUUCUCCUUGUAUGCUGCGCUGGCUCUUGGACCCCCAGGGCUUCCUUCAAGCUUGGUAAAUACCCUACCUCUAAGGUACAUCCUCACCUUUCUGCCUGUGCAAGUCAGGAGCAAAGAGCAAACAGACCUCUCAUGGCAGCACCAGGAAAAACCAACCCUCCUGACACCCCGAUGUUGGGCUUCUGGCCUCCAGAAUCAUGAGUCAAUAAAUGCCUAUGGCUAAAUUCUAAAAAAAAAUACACCCUCAACUUCUUCAGCAGUUCGGUCCUCUCUCCAGAGUGUUGGCGGAGAUUGAUAAAAGGGAAUAAGUAAUAUCAUUAAGACUUGAUAUUGAUUUCAUCCUUUUAUCCUUUAUGAUGUUUUGUCAUAUUUCAUCUACCUUAAAAAUGUGUGUUGCUGCUCUUUCUUCAUAUAUCUGGAACCAAGAGAGAAACUUGCCAUUUUACAUUAAAUUUCUCUUUUGUUUGCUGUG